The submitters of this non-coding RNA (120 nucleotides) gave its source as unclassified sequences. The record is from Rfam.
UGGUGGUACAGACGUAAGUACUGUUGCACAGCCACAAGCGAUCAAACUGAUUAAGCGUAUUGUAAAUACGUCGCCUGGUUGGGAUAACCCUUCUGAAUCAGAAGGGUUAUUUUUGCACCA